This is a small nuclear RNA of Myotis myotis, 190 nucleotides long. RefSeq annotates it as U2 spliceosomal RNA. The transcript has a single exon. The record is from RefSeq and is a predicted model, not a curated record. Lineage: Eukaryota; Metazoa; Chordata; Mammalia; Chiroptera; Vespertilionidae.
AUCGCUUCUCAGCCUUUUGGCUAUGGUAAAGUGUAAUAGCUGUUCUUAUCAGUUUAAUAUCUGAUAUAUCUUUUACCCAAGAUAAUAUAUUACAUGGAUUUUUGAAGCAGGGAGGUGGAGCAGGAGCUUGCUCCAUCCACUCUGAGCAUUGACCUAGUAUUUCAGUACUUCCAGAAAUGGUGCAUGGGAA